RNAcentral lists this transfer RNA (63 nucleotides) under Neohermes filicornis. Its description in RNAcentral is "tRNA-Arg". Lineage: Eukaryota; Metazoa; Arthropoda; Insecta; Megaloptera; Corydalidae. The record is from RNAcentral.
AAGUAAGAAGCAAUAAAUUGCAAUUAGUUUCGACCUAAUCAUAGAUGUAGACAUCCUUAUUUU